Molecule: ribosomal RNA, 465 nt
Filed under: uncultured Klebsiella sp.
Lineage: Bacteria; Pseudomonadati; Pseudomonadota; Gammaproteobacteria; Enterobacterales; Enterobacteriaceae
Description: bacterial SSU rRNA
Rfam family: Bacterial small subunit ribosomal RNA
Source: RNAcentral
CCUACGGGUGGCAGCAGUGGGGAAUAUUGCACAAUGGGCGCAAGCCUGAUGCAGCCAUGCCGCGUGUGUGAAGAAGGCCUUCGGGUUGUAAAGCACUUUCAGCGGGGAGGAAGGCGUUAAGGUUAAUAAUCUUGUCGGUUGACGUUACCCGCAGAAGAAGCACCGGCUAGCUCCGUGCCAGCAGCCGCGGUAAUACGGAGGGUGCAAGCGUUAAUCGGAAUUACUGGGCGUAAAGCGCACGCAGGCGGUCUGUCAAGUCGGAUGUGAAAUCCCCGGGCUCAACCUGGGAACUGCAUUCGAAACUGGCAGGCUAGAGUCUUGUAGAGGGGGGUAGAAUUCCAGGUGUAGCGGUGAAAUGCGUAGAGAUCUGGAGGAAUACCGGUGGCGAAGGCGGCCCCCUGGACAAAGACUGACGCUCAGGUGCGAAAGCGUGGGGAGCAAACAGGAUUAGAUACCCCUGUAGUC